This 253-nucleotide ribosomal RNA is filed under the name uncultured bacterium. RNAcentral describes it as "partial 16S ribosomal RNA". It matches the Rfam family "Bacterial small subunit ribosomal RNA", at positions 524 to 776 of the family's 1533-position model. The record is from RNAcentral.
UACGUAGGGGGCAAGCGUCGUCCGGAUUUAUUGGGCGUAAAGAGCGUGUAGGCGGCCUGAAAGGUCAGCUGUGAAAACUCGAGGCUCAACCUCGAGACGUCGGUUGAAACCAUCUGGCUAGAGUCCGGAAGAGGAGUGUGGAAUUCCCGGUGUAGCGGUGAAAUGCGCAGAUAUCGGGAAGAACACCCGUGGCGAAGGCGGCACUCUGGGACGGUACUGACGCUGAGACGCGAAAGCGUGGGGAGCGAACAGG